UCCUCUUUAUGUCAUGUAAUACUUUUGGCCUCAAAGUCUAUUCUUUCAGAUAUUAAUUUAGUUCAGGCAGAUUCCUUUUCGUUAGUGUUUGCAAGGAAUAUCAUGGCCCCUCUUCCUAUGUAUGAUCUACCUAAUUCUUUUGCUUGAAGGUGUUUCUUUAAAAGGAAUACAAUUGUAUUUUUAAAUCCACUUUGUCAGUCUUUAUCCCUCAACUGGGAAGGUUCAUCUGUUUAUACGUGAUGAUAACUGGUGAGGCAUUUAAGCUCCACACACCAUCUAGUUUGCAUUUUCUGGUCACCUGACCUCCUAAGUGUCUUUUUCUCCCUUCUUUUGAUCUCCUUAACAUUCUCCCCCUCUUUUUCUCUUUUGGCAUUUUAUUGUGGGUUUUUUCUUCAUGCAUUGUUGCCAUUGAUUUCUCAACAGUGUUGCAGUGGAUUUGUUUCUGAGAGGAACAGCGUGGUGGGUGCAAGAGGUGCGGAGUCAGCACACAGACCCCUGUAGUCAGGUGAAAGCAGGCUUGAGGAAGCAGCUAAGCAAUGGUGAAGACUGCUGUUACUGGAAGAUGAACAGGCUCCUCCUCAGAGAGGGGUUCUCACAUGCAUCCCAGAAGUCCCCUGGUGAUUUUGGAGUGUUGCAGUGGAUUUGUUUCUGAGAGGAACAGCGUGGUGGGGGCAAGAGGUGCGGAGUCAGCACACAGACCCCUGUAGUCAGGUGAAAGCAGGCUUGAGGUGAGCAGCCGGCAGACUCGUUUACUUCAGUUGAAACUAUGUCUUAUAUAGCCAAGACCAGCCAAUAUGAUCAAAGGGCUGUCUAUGCCCCAUACAAUCACAGCCUGCCAGGCAGUUUCCAAAGCCAUCCAAUCACAGCCUGUUGCCAGGCAGUUUCCAAAGCUAUUCCUGAAUAACUAAUGCUUGCUUGCCAGUGGCCAC
Molecule: non-coding RNA, 929 nt
Organism: Oryctolagus cuniculus (rabbit)
Lineage: Eukaryota; Metazoa; Chordata; Mammalia; Lagomorpha; Leporidae
Source: RefSeq, a predicted model, not a curated record